Molecule: ribosomal RNA, 327 nt
Filed under: Triticum aestivum (bread wheat)
Lineage: Eukaryota; Viridiplantae; Streptophyta; Magnoliopsida; Poales; Poaceae
Description: partial small subunit ribosomal RNA
Source: RNAcentral
AUGCCGCUCCUCCCGACCAUCCCCGACCUCCUCGAGCUCGCCCACCGCCUCAACACCCCGAGACUGCCGGCGACCCCCAGUUCGACUACGGUGUUGACGGCCCCUCCUUGCCAGAGCAACCAGAUGUUGGAGCCCAGGAGCCAGACGCCACCAUCAACGAUGACUCCUACUACACCGGAGGUGCCUACUAUUACGUGGAGGCCGCUGACGACGACCAGGAGUAGUUUAGGAGGAUCCCAGGCAGGAGGCAUGCCCCUCUUUCGAUCUGUAUCCCAGUUUGUGCUCGCCUUCUUAAGGCAAACUUGUUUAACUUAUGUCUGUACUUAG